Long non-coding RNA from Rosa rugosa (rugosa rose), 1769 nucleotides. RefSeq lists it as uncharacterized. The transcript has 5 exons. The record is from RefSeq and is a predicted model, not a curated record. NCBI's taxonomy places the organism in Eukaryota, Viridiplantae, Streptophyta, Magnoliopsida, Rosales, Rosaceae.
GCAUUUUGCGUUUCUCCGUCUCCUCGUUUGAGGAAUUGGCAAUGCAGCUUGAAAUUGUGUGGAAUCGGAAAAGUUAGGAGGUUUUCGAUUUUUCGGAAGGUGGAUAAUUUAGGUCUCUGAAGAUUGAGGCUUGGAUAAGGUAGAAAGGAGGUCAGGUAUGGUAGGAAAAAGAGAGUAAAGAAUUAUUAGUAUUUUUUUUUUUUUUUUUUUUUUUUUUUUUUUUGAGUUUGGAAGAGACGGAGAAGGACCACAAGUAGUGUGAGUUUCAUCUUGGAUGUAGUGUAUCUGAAGAAAAGGAUAUUUUCAAUUGUGGCAUGGUGCUUUUGAUGCCAAAUCCAAGUUCUGGUAAGCGUUUGAUUCCUUAAGAUUGAAACUUUGAAUGUUAGACAGAGCCCAAUAUGAACGAAGCCAUUACUUGACUGUGUAACUUUGAAUCGUAAAGGUUCUUACUUUCUGUUUAUCAAGGUGAAGUUGCUUGCUUGUAAUAUUGAUUCAGUUCUUCUAAUCUGUGGUUAUGUAUUUUGGGAUCUUAUUUUGACGUGGGUUCUUUUGUUUGUUUGGAUAUUUUGAUUAGGUACUUUUUGAGGAAGUUGAAGAAAGUGAAGAAGAGCAAUGGACAAAUCUUGGCCAUCAAUGAGCUCUGCGUCCGCAAUUGAUAACAAGGAACAAAGCAUUCCUACAGAUUUUAUGAUGAGCAUCCAGUCAGAGUCACACAAAAAUGGAAACAGGCAGUCAUAGCCGCAAAAAGAUGGAAAUGGGGGGUCAGAAUCACAGAAAGAUGGAAAUGGGAGAUGCAAAAUCUCAAAUGGGACUUCUAGUAAAGAUCCUAAACUAGUGGAAAGCUCCGGCAGCACAAUUGACGGUAACGAGAAAUUAGCUCUGGUGGAAUGAUUAAAUUAUAUCAUUCCUUAUUUAAGACUGCCGACAGAUGCUUCUGAGGAGGAAAUCAGGGCUUGCUUAAUUGAUGGCACUGUUUGAUGCAGAAUUUUAAAUAAGCUGUGUCCGGUUCAGUUGAAAUGUUCCACCAGCUCUUCUAGAACAAUUGAAGCAGGGGACUAAUUUGGAUCUCUGUGAUGUCAAGAUUUUGGAAUCUAUCAAAUCAACCAGUUUACAUAAUGCAUCAAUUUAAUCUGAAUUGGAUCUUCUGCUGUAAAUUCAGGAUCUUUAAAUACCUGUUUUGGAUUUGGAAAGUGCUUGAGAAUGCAAGAAUGGACCUGUGUAUGGUUUCUUACGACUAUAUUCUGGGUGACUGGUUUGAGGAAGAAGCUAUCUUCACCGUUGUGACUGCAGGUGCUAAAUAAGACAACUGGUACUUCAGAAAAUCUCCCUGCUGUUUCUUCUAUAGUGCUUCUAAGGUUGCUUUGGAGUGUUAACCUUUCUUGAUGUUUCGAUUGGUAUUCCUUUUUGCCCAAAUUUGCUUAUUAUGUCUGUGAAAAUGGCUUGCACUUUUGCAUUGAUACUGAUCUGAAACUGGGUUUUUGUGGCUUGCACUUUUGCAUUGAUAUUGAUAUUAAGGUUUGUAAUUUCUUGCAGAAAGCCAGAAAGUUAAAAACCCAUGUUUAGUUUUUGACUUUGGAAUUAGUUUGGAUAGUAUUUCCACUGUUUGAAUAUUAUUUUGACUUUGAAUAUUAACCGAUAGUGGAUUGUGGUCAUGGUCUAAUUGCUUUAGUGGUAAAAACUUUGUCUUUGACAACUGAUUUAUGUAGAAUGAUUGAAAUAAAACUGAAGUGAUUAUAUGUGCAUUUUCUCAUUAUCGUUGAUAUAGAUGG